This 236-nucleotide long non-coding RNA is filed under the name Mytilus galloprovincialis (Mediterranean mussel). The record is from RNAcentral. Lineage: Eukaryota; Metazoa; Mollusca; Bivalvia; Mytilida; Mytilidae.
UAGUUUUCGAUUAAUUUAUUUAUGAGAUCAAUAUAAUUUUGCUCUUUAAGUAUACUAUUAUUUAUUUUAAAGAAUCCCCUGCCUCUUUCUUCCGAAUUUUGUCUUACUUGUAAAGAAAUGGCUUGGUGAUCAGUAUAUGAGAUCAUUGCAGGUCGAAUAUCUGCUUUCAUAACAUGCGGUCUUAUAUCAGGACUUAUUAAAAAGAAGUCAAUUCUACUGGCUAUUUUUGUAUCAUU